CUGAGACCCCAGCCAGUACCCAGUAGUAGAGCUAGCUGAGACCCAGCCAGCCACCAGUACCCAGUAGUAGAGCUAGCUGAGACCCAGCCAGCCAGUACCCAGUAGUAGAGCUAGCUGAGACCCCAGCCAGCCAGUACCCAGUAGUAGAGCUAGCUGAGACCCCAGCCAGUCAGUACCCAGUAGUAGAGCUAGCUGAGACCCCAGCCAGUACCCAGUAGUAGAGCUAGCUGAGACCCCAGCCAGCCAGUACCCAGUAGUAGAGCUAGCUGAGACCCCAGCCAGUCAGUACCCAGUAGUAGAGCUAGCUGAGACCCCAGCCAGUCAGUACCCAGUAGUAGAGCUAGCUGAGACCCCAG
This 356-nucleotide long non-coding RNA is filed under the name Salmo salar (Atlantic salmon). RNAcentral describes it as "lncRNA (ENSSSAG00000106573.1)". The record is from RNAcentral. Lineage: Eukaryota; Metazoa; Chordata; Actinopteri; Salmoniformes; Salmonidae.